Molecule: ribosomal RNA, 252 nt
Filed under: uncultured microorganism
Description: partial 16S ribosomal RNA
Rfam family: Bacterial small subunit ribosomal RNA
Source: RNAcentral
UACGUAGGUCCCGAGCGUUGUCCGGAUUUAUUGGGCGUAAAGCGAGCGCCGGUGGUUUAAUAAGUCUGAUGUAAAAGGCAGUGGCUCAACCAUUGUGUGCAUUGGAAACUGUUAGACUUGAGUGCAGUAGAGGAGAGUGGAAUUCCAUGUGUAGCGGUGAAAUGCGUAGAUAUAUGGAGGAACACCGGUGGCGAAAGCGGCUCUCUGGACUGUAACUGACACUGAGGCUCGAAAGCGUGGGUAGCAAACAGG